AUGAGUUGCCUAGUCUGGAACAAUCGCGGGGCUGGCAGACCUGCGACAGUUUGAGAGCUUCGAGAUCUAUCGAAGCAACUUGCCCCCUCUAUUGUAUGCAUUCUCGAAACUCAGAUAGAGGGCUCACAUGUUGAGAAUCUUGUAGGAACUCUAGGUUACAAUAAAAGCUUUACUGUAAGCAGCUCCGGUAGGAGCGGUGGACUAGGCAUUUUUUGGAAUGAGGAAAUAAAGCUCGAAGUUAUUGGUUAUUCUGAGUACCACAUAGAUGUUUUUGUUGAGCAGAUGACAGAGAUUAAAACCAGAAUCACCUUUGUGUACGGUGAGGCCCAAACAAGUGAGAGGUACAAAACUUGGGACACGUUGCGCGGAAUUGCAGGAACAAGCAACGAUCCAUGGGUGGUGAUUGGAGACUUCAACGAAGUCCUUCAUCCCAUGAGCACGAUGGGGUCGGCCAACGGAGCCAAGCGUAGAUGGACGCCUUCUGAGAUGCUAUUGAUACGUGUGGUUUAUCAGACAUUAGUUAUAAGGGACAGAGUUGGACUUUUGAGAAGAAGGUGGUGGGGGGCACGUACACCAGGGUGCGGCUGGACCGGAGCGUGGCUAACCCUGCAUGGGCUUUGGCCUUCCCAGAUGCAUCUCUUGAGCACCUCAGUGCCGCUACGUCCGACCACGUCCCGUUGUUGCUUCGUCUCCAAGCAGUGCAUGCAUGCAGACGGGGACCACGACCGUUUAAAUAUGAGAUCUGCUGGGAGCGCGACCCAACGUUGGACUCAGGAGCUGGGGAUUCGGUGGACCAGGUGA
RNAcentral lists this ribosomal RNA (801 nucleotides) under Triticum aestivum (bread wheat). Its description in RNAcentral is "partial small subunit ribosomal RNA". The record is from RNAcentral. Lineage: Eukaryota; Viridiplantae; Streptophyta; Magnoliopsida; Poales; Poaceae.